UACGUAGGGUGCAAGCGUUGUCCGGAAUUAUUGGGCGUAAAGAGCUCGUAGGCGGUCUGUCGCGUCUGCUGUGAAAACUCGGGGCUUAACCCCGGGCCUGCAGUGGGUACGGGCAAACUUGAGUGCGGUAGGGGAGACUGGAAUUCCUGGUGUAGCGGUGAAAUGCGCAGAUAUCAGGAGGAACACCGGUGGCGAAGGCGGAUCUCUGGGCCAUUACUGACGCUGAGGAGCGAAAGCGUGGGGAGCGAACAGG
RNAcentral lists this ribosomal RNA (253 nucleotides) under uncultured bacterium. RNAcentral's name for it is "partial 16S ribosomal RNA". It matches the Rfam family "Bacterial small subunit ribosomal RNA", at positions 524 to 776 of the family's 1533-position model. The record is from RNAcentral.